UCCUGGUUACUUAGCUGGUAAAGAAUCUGCUUACAAUGCAGGAGACCCGGGUUCAAUUCCUGGGUCAGAAA
This 71-nucleotide transfer RNA is filed under the name Bos taurus (domestic cattle). It matches the Rfam family "tRNA". From Rfam's summary of the family: Transfer RNA (tRNA) molecules are approximately 80 nucleotides in length. Their secondary structure includes four short double-helical elements and three loops (D, anti-codon, and T loops). Further hydrogen bonds mediate the characteristic L-shaped molecular structure. tRNAs have two regions of fundamental functional importance: the anti-codon, which is responsible for specific mRNA codon recognition, and the 3' end, to which the tRNAs corresponding amino acid is attached (by aminoacyl-tRNA synthetases). tRNAs cope with the degeneracy of the genetic code in two manners: having more than one tRNA (with a specific anti-codon) for a particular amino acid; and 'wobble' base-pairing, i.e. permitting non-standard base-pairing at the 3rd anti-codon position. Lineage: Eukaryota; Metazoa; Chordata; Mammalia; Artiodactyla; Bovidae. RNAcentral also lists the same sequence under 4 other names. The record is from Rfam by way of RNAcentral.